This 303-nucleotide ribosomal RNA is filed under the name uncultured bacterium. Its description in RNAcentral is "partial 16S ribosomal RNA". It matches the Rfam family "Bacterial small subunit ribosomal RNA", at positions 507 to 807 of the family's 1533-position model. The record is from RNAcentral.
AGCAGUAGCCACGGUAAUACGUAGGGUGCGAGCGUUAAUCGGAAUUACUGGGCGUAAAGCGUGCGCAGGCGGUUAUGUAAGACAGGUGUGAAGUCCCCGGGCUCAACCUGGGAACUGCGUUCUGAACUGGGUGACUAGAGUGUGUCAGAGGGAGGUAGAAUUCCACGUGUAGCAGUGAAAUGCGCAGAGAUGUGGAGGAAUACCGAUGGCGAAGGCAGCCUCCUGGGAUAACACUGACGUUCAUGCCCGAGAGCGUGGGUAGCAAACGGGAUUAGAUACCCGUGUAGUCCCUGUCUCUUAUAC